This 468-nucleotide ribosomal RNA is filed under the name uncultured bacterium. RNAcentral describes it as "partial 16S ribosomal RNA". It matches the Rfam family "Bacterial small subunit ribosomal RNA", at positions 28 to 507 of the family's 1533-position model. The record is from RNAcentral.
GACGAACGCUGGCGGCGUGCUUAACACAUGCAAGUCGAACGGAAAGGCCCUGCUUUUGUGGGGUGCUCGAGUGGCGAACGGGUGAGUAACACGUGAGCAACCUGCCCCUGACUUUGGGAUAACUUCAGGAAACUGGGGCUAAUACCGGAUAGGAGCUCCUGCUGCAUGGUGGGGGUUGGAAAGUUUCGGCGGUUGGGGAUGGACUCGCGGCUUAUCAGCUUGUUGGUGGGGUAGUGGCUUACCAAGGCUUUGACGGGUAGCCGGCCUGAGAGGGUGACCGGCAACAUUGGGACUGAGAUACGGCCCAGACUCCUACGGGAGGCAGCAGUGGGGAAUAUUGCACAAUGGGCGGAAGCCUGAUGCAGCAACGCCGCGUGCGGGAUGACGGCCUUCGGGUUGUAAACCGCUUUCGCCUGUGACGAAGCGUGAGUGACGGUAAUGGGUAAAGAAGCACCGGCUAACUACGUG